RNAcentral lists this ribosomal RNA (453 nucleotides) under bacterium enrichment culture clone ALO1_GLFRUDD03GUZCZ. RNAcentral describes it as "bacterial SSU rRNA". It matches the Rfam family "Bacterial small subunit ribosomal RNA", at positions 9 to 480 of the family's 1533-position model. The record is from RNAcentral.
GAGUUUGAUCCUGGCUCAGAUUGAACGCUGGCGGCAUGCCUUACACAUGCAAGUCGAACGGCAGCACGGGAGCUUGCUCCUGGUGGCGAGUGGCGAACGGGUGAGUAAUGCAUCGGAACGUAUCCUGGAGUGGGGGAUAACGUAGCGAAAGUUACGCUAAUACCGCAUAUUCUGUGAGCAGGAAAGCGGGGGACCUUCGGGCCUCGCGCUCUUGGAGCGGCCGAUGUCGGAUUAGCUAGUUGGUGAGGUAAAGGCUCACCAAGGCGACGAUCCGUAGCAGGUCUGAGAGGAUGAUCUGCCACACUGGAACUGAGACACGGUCCAGACUCCUACGGGAGGCAGCAGUGGGGAAUUUUGGGCAAUGGACGCAAGUCUGACCCAGCAACGCCGCGUGAAGGAAGAAGGCUUUCGGUUGUAAACUUCUUUGACAGGGAAGAGUAGAAGACGGUACCC